This 446-nucleotide ribosomal RNA is filed under the name Ovophis makazayazaya. RNAcentral describes it as "partial 12S ribosomal RNA". It matches the Rfam family "Bacterial small subunit ribosomal RNA", at positions 864 to 1506 of the family's 1533-position model. The record is from RNAcentral. Lineage: Eukaryota; Metazoa; Chordata; Lepidosauria; Squamata; Viperidae.
AUUGUUCGCCAAACAACUACGAGUCCCACUUAAAACUUAAAAGACUUGANGGUACUUCAUCACGGCCUAGAGGAGCCUGUCUAAUAACCGACAAUCCACGAUUAACCCCACCCCUUCUUGCCUUACAGNNUAUAUACCGCCNUCGCCAGCUUACCUUGUAAAAGAAAAAAAGUGAGCUAAACAGUACUACACUAAAACGACAGGUCGAGGUGUAACCUAUGAAGGGGACUACGAUGGGCUACAUUCUUCAACCAAGAAUACGAAUAACACUAUGAAAUUAGUGCCUGAAGGCGGAUUUAGCAGUAAGAUAAGAAUAAAACACCUACCUGAACAUAACGCAAUGAAGUGCGUACACACCGCCCGUCACCCCUGUCACCACAACACCUAACCUUAAUAAAUCAACUAAAAGAAUCAAACAGGGCAAGUCGUAACAAGGUAAGUGUACA